This is a long non-coding RNA of Triticum aestivum (bread wheat), 3028 nucleotides long. RefSeq lists it as uncharacterized. NCBI's taxonomy places the organism in Eukaryota, Viridiplantae, Streptophyta, Magnoliopsida, Poales, Poaceae. The transcript has 5 exons. The record is from RefSeq and is a predicted model, not a curated record.
GGGGGAAGCUGGAGUGGAGGUGCGCCAGCGCGGAGCGCUGCUCGGCGAGGAUCCUGACGCGGUCCUUCCAUGGAAGCCCCUUGGAGAGCCCAUCCAUGAGCGUGCCAUUGGGGAGGUGCUCGUAAAUGAGGAUGCAUGAUUCCUGGCACACGCCAAUCAGCCUCACGAUGUGUGGGUGCUCGGUUCUGCUCAGUACCACAACCUGGAGAGUUCCAAACAUGAUUCAGGAGAUGCCUCUCCAAGCAGACAGCCUCUUCAGAAAUAUUUCUGGCACUCUGUAUCUCAUCAGAUUUAUCAGCACCCUCUUCGGAAAAAAUCUCCACCUCCUCACAAGCAUUUGAUUCCUCGACGCCUUGUUCAGCUUCCUGCACAUCGAAAAGGCGCUCGAGGUGCCAUCUUCAUUAAGCUCAAAUGCAUAGUACAACAUUUUGCAAGAGAGAGCAAGGGUUGUACAAAAUCCUGGAUAUUGUUUCUGUAUGUGUGGGCAACCUUAAAGAGUGAGUAGGUAGAAUUUCUGAAUGCACAUGUUUUAGUAGUUGUCUUGAAAGCAAAACGAAGGUGAGUUAUUACCUUUGCUGAUUGAUCAGCACCAUCCAUUUGAAUAACCCCAUCCCCAUUGAUGAUAUCAUCUGCCUGAAAUGAGACAUACUUGAGAAUACGCCACGAGUUAGGACCAAAACUUUGAACCAUAGUCAUGAACUUGUAAACUGAAACAGUUAUUAUUUGCAUAUGUUUAAUGCUCUUUUGGAUAAAAAUGUGUGUAAUGCUUUACUAAAAGGUUACUUACAAAAUCACUUGGUGGUGUUGUGUAUCCAUCAGAUUCGUCGCUCAGCUGAGUCAGCUCAUGUAUAGACGCCAACAAAUCGGAGCUCCCUCUAUAUCCAAUGCUUCCCGUAUGUUUCAGAUAAUCAUUACUGCACUUAGGAAUGAUCUCAUCCAUCAAGUAAUUACUGGAUUUGAUCCAGAUGUCUCCAGUUAUGGACUUAAGACAAACUAUACCUAGUGGACAUGUAUUUUCCAUUGAGCACCACCCAAACCUGACAGCAUUUGCGAAGCUCUUCUUGCUUUGCCAUUUUCCUGCAUAACUUGCUUCAGUGUUAUACAGUUAUAUGCGCUAAGGUACUAUUAAAUUUUUUUUAAGUAUACAUGGAUUGACCAACCUUCUCCAUCAGUUCAGGCUUUUGUUUCUACUGGUUGGUGCAUGAAACUUAAUAUGGCAUCAGAGCCAAGACUCAAAUUCAAGGCCUGGACAACACACUAUUAAAUAGAAAUAGUUGCAGCCUACAUCGAUCGCACGUCCAAGGCCUGGAGCAGCCUAGAAGUGAGGGAGAGUGCCCUCCCUCCUCUCCAUCAGUUCGUUCUUCGGUCUUUUGGGUGAAGUGGCUGGUCCAUGAACUUACUAUGGUAUCAAUGCCAUGAGGUCUUGUGUUCAAGUCUCAGUUUUUGCAGUUUAAAUAAAAAAUUGCUUGCACUCUUUCUGUCCAUGUUAGGCCUUAUCGAGCCACAUGUGAGAGGGGGUGAUGAAGUUCGGACUUUUGGUUCUACUGGUUUAUGCAUGAAACUUAAUACAUUUAUUGUGUACAUGUUACAUCAAGUAACAUAUAUCAAGAGGGAAUGCUCUUUUUUGGGGAUGAGUUCAUUUAAGAUCUCACCUUGAACCGAUGACAAUUCUCUUUAUUUUGAGCUUCUUUAUCAGGUUUACAAGACCAACGAGAAUGUCAUCGUGUGUGAUGUAAUGUGCCUUAACCUGCAAAGAUACAUGCCCUGUUUAUGAAACAUGUCUUCUCUGAAAUAGCAGAACCUGAACCAUAGAAGCCUCACCUCAAACACGAAAAGGUGAAGAUAUCUGGAAGUGGUCCAAAAGGCUAACGAAAGUACCUAAUUGUGCUGCACCACUUUUCAUCAACCCAGAGGCAUCUUUUCCCUUUUGUGCCUUUGCUCUUCCUAGGAAGUGUCAGCUCAUAGAAGGCCUGAAGGAGAGGCAAUGAUGGUGGUUUUAAAUAGUGGCCUUGGAUUUGGUCUUCCUCUGACUGUAUCCAGCAGCAGUGAGCACACUAUCAGGAAAACUUGUCUGAUUCGGGUGAAAUUUCCGUGAAAUUUCCACUACUUCCAAGGAACUGCUGUACAUGCCUGCCCCUCGUUGACUGACUUUUGAUGUGUAGCAACAAAGUCGUCCAAUUAGAUGGUGAUCAUCCCAUCUCCCUGGCCGGCAAUGCCCAUCAAAGGGUUGCUUUCAAGAUGCGUAAAUGUUGUCCAGCACAUAUAGUUUUGAUAUGAUUAGAUGUAUGCGAUAAUGUUCGUUUUCUGCAGGUGGCUUUCACACAAUUCUUGCUCUCAGGCUGUCAAUAUAGUAAUGUACAUCAAGGCAUUUCCUGUUUCCUAAAGCAUCUGAUGAUUAGCAUAUACUAGGAUUAUACUUUGAACUACAAUACGUGAAGAGGGGUGCAGCUUUGGAUGAUUGGAAUCUCCGUCUGACUCAUUUGGACGGAAGUGCUUGUUGAGAAAUUGCAGGCUUUCAGGAAUACAGUAUCCCAGUGUGAGGACAGAGCGACCGGAAGGUAGGUUAGGAAGUAUGCAGUCCUGACACAGUGAUAUGUCAAAGAUGAAUUGGACUCUUGCUAAAAAUCAAGGUCCAGAUCGGAUAGAUCGCGACUUCAAGGCAAAUGAAGUUUCAUGCUGGUUACCAGCUUCUGAAGGACCAAUAUAUAAUAGAUUGUGCUGCCAAUUUGGUCAGUCAUUGGAGACAAGGACAUCGUACCUUUUGAAUUUGGUAUUGUUCAACACGGAGGAUCUGUGUCAUUGACAAGAAAAUAAAAUAAGCUGAUCAUAGGUCAUUGAAGUUUGAUUGCUUGAUCAUUUUGGACUUUCGGAAUAGACAGAUCGAUGAUGCAAAUAUUAGAUUUUCAAACUGGAUGUAACAUGUAAAAUGACACUGUACCAUAUAUGCUUGUAAAUAAUUGAUAGUUCCAUGCUGAUAUGCACUUUUCAUUCAUCCUGGAACAUCGACAUUCAGAGGCCAAUCAAUACC